Molecule: ribosomal RNA, 1421 nt
Filed under: Staphylococcus aureus
Lineage: Bacteria; Bacillati; Bacillota; Bacilli; Caryophanales; Staphylococcaceae
Description: bacterial SSU rRNA
Rfam family: Bacterial small subunit ribosomal RNA
Source: RNAcentral
AGUCGAGCGAACGGACGAGAAGCUUGCUUCUCUGAUGUUAGCGGCGGACGGGUGAGUAACACGUGGAUAACCUACCUAUAAGACUGGGAUAACUUCGGGAAACCGGAGCUAAUACCGGAUAAUAUUUUGAACCGCAUGGUUCAAAAGUGAAAGACGGUCUUGCUGUCACUUAUAGAUGGAUCCGCGCUGCAUUAGCUAGUUGGUAAGGUAACGGCUUACCAAGGCAACGAUGCAUAGCCGACCUGAGAGGGUGAUCGGCCACACUGGAACUGAGACACGGUCCAGACUCCUACGGGAGGCAGCAGUAGGGAAUCUUCCGCAAUGGGCGAAAGCCUGACGGAGCAACGCCGCGUGAGUGAUGAAGGUCUUCGGAUCGUAAAACUCUGUUAUUAGGGAAGAACAUAUGUGUAAGUAACUGUGCACAUCUUGACGGUACCUAAUCAGAAAGCCACGGCUAACUACGUGCCAGCAGCCGCGGUAAUACGUAGGUGGCAAGCGUUAUCCGGAAUUAUUGGGCGUAAAGCGCGCGUAGGCGGUUUUUUAAGUCUGAUGUGAAAGCCCACGGCUCAACCGUGGAGGGUCAUUGGAAACUGGAAAACUUGAGUGCAGAAGAGGAAAGUGGAAUUCCAUGUGUAGCGGUGAAAUGCGCAGAGAUAUGGAGGAACACCAGUGGCGAAGGCGACUUUCUGGUCUGUAACUGACGCUGAUGUGCGAAAGCGUGGGGAUCAAACAGGAUUAGAUACCCUGGUAGUCCACGCCGUAAACGAUGAGUGCUAAGUGUUAGGGGGUUUCCGCCCCUUAGUGCUGCAGCUAACGCAUUAAGCACUCCGCCUGGGGAGUACGACCGCAAGGUUGAAACUCAAAGGAAUUGACGGGGACCCGCACAAGCGGUGGAGCAUGUGGUUUAAUUCGAAGCAACGCGAAGAACCUUACCAAAUCUUGACAUCCUUUGACAACUCUAGAGAUAGAGCCUUCCCCUUCGGGGGACAAAGUGACAGGUGGUGCAUGGUUGUCGUCAGCUCGUGUCGUGAGAUGUUGGGUUAAGUCCCGCAACGAGCGCAACCCUUAAGCUUAGUUGCCAUCAUUAAGUUGGGCACUCUAAGUUGACUGCCGGUGACAAACCGGAGGAAGGUGGGGAUGACGUCAAAUCAUCAUGCCCCUUAUGAUUUGGGCUACACACGUGCUACAAUGGACAAUACAAAGGGCAGCGAAACCGCGAGGUCAAGCAAAUCCCAUAAAGUUGUUCUCAGUUCGGAUUGUAGUCUGCAACUCGACUACAUGAAGCUGGAAUCGCUAGUAAUCGUAGAUCAGCAUGCUACGGUGAAUACGUUCCCGGGUCUUGUACACACCGCCCGUCACACCACGAGAGUUUGUAACACCCGAAGCCGGUGGAGUAACCUUUUAGGAGCUAGCCGUCGAAG